GAAAUGCGAUAAUUAAUGUGAAUUGCAGAAUUCAGUGAAUCAUCGAGUCUUUGAACGCACAUUGCGCCCCCUGGUAUUCCGGGGGGCAUGCCUGUCCGAGCGUCAUUGCUGCCCUCCAGCACGGCUUGUGUGUUGGGCUUCCGUCCCUGGCAACGGGGACGGGCCCAAAAGGCAGUGGUGGCACCAUGUCUGGUCCUCGAGCGUAUGGGGCUUUGUCACCCGCUCCCGUAGGUCCAGCUGGCAGCUAGCCUCGCAACCAAUCUUUUUAACCAGGUUGACCUCGGAUCAGGUAGGGAUACCCGCUGAACUUAAGC
Molecule: unclassified non-coding RNA, 314 nt
Filed under: plant metagenome
Description: partial contains 5.8S ribosomal RNA, internal transcribed spacer 2, and large subunit ribosomal RNA
Rfam family: 5.8S ribosomal RNA (bases 1-105)
Source: RNAcentral